This 400-nucleotide ribosomal RNA is filed under the name uncultured bacterium. RNAcentral describes it as "bacterial SSU rRNA". It matches the Rfam family "Bacterial small subunit ribosomal RNA", at positions 355 to 747 of the family's 1533-position model. The record is from RNAcentral.
UGGGGAAUAUUGGACAAUGGGGGAAACCCUGAUCCAGCAAUGCCGCGUGGGUGAAGAAGGCCUGCGGGUUGUAAAGCCCUUUCGCCUGGGAAGAAAAGCCUGGUGCUAAUACCGCCGGGUCUUGACGUUACCAGGAGAAGAAGCACCGGCUAACUCCGUGCCAGCAGCCGCGGUAAUACGGAGGGUGCGAGCGUUAAUCGGAAUUACUGGGCGUAAAGCGCGCGUAGGCGGUGGCGUGAGUCGGGCGUGAAAGCCCCGGGCUUAACCUGGGAAUUGCGUUCGAUACUGCGCUGCUAGAGUCUGGGAGAGGGAAGGGGAAUUCCGGGUGUAGCGGUGAAAUGCGUAGAUAUCCGGAGGAACACCAGUGGCGAAGGCGCCUUCCUGGCCCAAGACUGACGCU